RNAcentral lists this ribosomal RNA (253 nucleotides) under uncultured bacterium. Its description in RNAcentral is "partial 16S ribosomal RNA". It matches the Rfam family "Bacterial small subunit ribosomal RNA", at positions 524 to 776 of the family's 1533-position model. The record is from RNAcentral.
UACGUAGGGUGCGAGCGUUGUCCGGAAUUAUUGGGCGUAAAGAGCUUGUAGGCGGUUUGUCGCGUCUGCUGUGAAAUUUCGGGGCUCAACCCCGAACUUGCAGUGGGUACGGGCAGACUAGAGUGUGGUAGGGGAGACUGGAAUUCCUGGUGUAGCGGUGGAAUGCGCAGAUAUCAGGAGGAACACCGAUGGCGAAGGCAGGUCUCUGGGCCACUACUGACGCUGAGAAGCGAAAGCAUGGGGAGCGAACAGG